CUGUCCUGUCCGAUCUCUGCGUGUGAUCCGCUAUCCCAUCCACGAGCGUUUUUUCGGGGAAAGCGGACGGAGCGACUCGCUCUCCUUUAUCAGCCCAAUCCGGAUCAUCGAGAGGAGCGGAGUUGGAACAGGAUCAGUUCACCGUGGCAACAGGAGGACAGCUCUAGAGAUGGUGGGGUGUGAGGUCGUCAUGACAACUGGGUAACUACUCAACAGUGUGCUCCUCCUCGUCCUCGGCCCUCCUGCUGAGAGAGAGAGAGACGGAGAGAACAAGAGUUGAGAUGGAGCCGAGCAGUAAACAAGGAGACAGGGAAAAUGUGUGCUGUCGUGACGCGCGCGCGUGCGUGCGUGUGUGUGUGUGUGUGUGUGUGUGUGUUAGUAUAGAUGUGUGUUAGUGUGUAUAUAUGUAUUUAUGUGUGUGUGGUGUCUCUCUCGGUGGGGCGGAGCCAGGAUUGUGUCGUGCUUGCUGGGUAAUAAGCACACGGUCCAUAAGGAUUAGGGUUUAGACUAACCUCAAUCUCCUCCUCUGACCAGUGCUGCUGCUAAUAAGCUUACACAAUUUGUGCACAUGGACAGCAGCAGCAACACACACACACACACACACACACAUCGCUGAGAAACAAUGCCUUAAUAGAAAUUAAGCCGCCUCAUUUCUGUCAUGUUGAAGAAGUAAAGGCCCAUUAAUCGUCUGACCGGCCACGAAGUGAGAAACCUACACAACCAUAUCGGCCUCUUCACAGAAUGUGUGUGUGCGUGGGUGUUUGUGGUGAGGGUGUAAUCCUAUUUCAAACUGUCUCAGGUCAUGGGGCUUAUGAUUGAUAUAACUGGACGAUAUAUUUGAUAUGGAUAUUGAUAUUCGGCAUUAGAAUUGUAACAUACAUUUAUGCACAAGGACCAGAUGCACUGUUUAGUAUUUGUAGCGAAACGCUAAUUUACAACACCUGUCCACAGGUGUCCACCUGUCCACUUUCGACCCUUUACUGUUAUUAUUUGUACUAUAUUGUUGAUAACUGAUGUUAUUCUUGUCUUGUGACUGUGUUUUUAAGACUACAACUUGUGUUAAAUUGUAACAUUUGCAGUGUUGUUCUACAGUGGGCAAUAGAGUCACACUGUAUUUUAUUGUAUCAUAAACAGGUUGCGGUUAAAACAAGAAUGGCUGUCAUUUUAUCAUAAUGUACUUGUUUACACUGUAUCUCUGUCAGUAUAAUAUACUACUUCCUGUUUAUACCUGCACACAUCGCAGUGUACAUACAGUAUAUCUAUUUUACUACCGUCACAAAAGUAUUUACAUUAUUAUACGUAUUUUACAUAUCAUUUCUAUUUCAUGUUUGUGUCUCAGAUUCUUUUUACUUGACUCCUUAAAAUGAAAAUGAAAAGCCCAAAAAUCUGUUGAACUGAACAUAAACUGACCUUCUGUCUCACCUCAGCGUGGUUGCGAUGUCGAUUUGUGACGGCAGAAGUGCUCCAAGGUGUAUGCCCAUCCAUACCCUUUUCACACACACACACACACACGCACACACACACACACACGCACACACACACGCACACACACACACACGCACACACGUUGCCCCAAUACCGUUCAAUUGUGUUGGUAAUGGGGGAGUGGAAACACACUUGCAUUGUGUUCUCUGGUUUAAAAAAAAUCGCAUGCUAUUUAUUUGCAACACCCAAAGCUACCACACCACAUGGUUUCCUGUAAACAGCGUGGGUUUCAGACACUCUGAAGUGGGCUCAAGCACUUUUAAAAACACUCAUUUCCUGAAGCAAAUGCUCCACCUGACAGCAUUCACAAAUCCUAAAAAUCAAUACAUUCAUACAUUUUGCAUGGGAAGCUUCUACUAUUAAACACACACACACACACACAGGCACAGGCACGAGGCCCAUCAAUAAUUAGGGUUAAUAUGAUCUCACUUGAACUUGAGAGGGGAAGUGUUGGUCUGCUCUUCACAGCUCUAGCAAGCGUGUGACAAAGAAAGAAGAGAGUGUGUCAUGUGUCAUGAGGCUGCUGUGUGAUGGUCAACAUCUAAACGCUCCAGUUACCUACUCUGGCUGCGGCAGCCGGUGUAGAUGGCAUCUCCGUUUACCGAGCUGGAGGUGUUGACGAUCAUGUUCUCUCUGCUGGUGUUCGCCCUCUUCACGCUCACUGGGAUGCUCGGGGAGGAAUGUGCACGUCCGAAUGAGACAAACACCACAGAACCACAGAAGGAGGAACUGAUCGUCUGACGAGAUUCAUGAAGGCACCAGCGGCCUCUUUCGUCCUGUCAGUCCUUAUGGAGGCCGAGGCAGCGAAAAGACUUGUGUGAGUGUGUGUUAUCAGUUACCAGGAACAAAGUCUAUUUGGUGACUUCUGAAUGUGUGUGUGUACGUUGUUACACGCUCCAGUCUUUCUUCCAGGAUGUGGCACAAAGGAGUGGCCUGGAUAACUGUAAAAAAGAAGUCAAUAAACAAACGCCUGCUUCAACCGUUCAAAGACAGUAUCUCACACCUACAUUCUUUCCUCUUUGAGGGUGUGUGUAUGUGAAGACACACAGCAGUGCUUUUGUAUUCAUUUUCAGAUCUGAAAAUACCUGCUGUGAUUCUUCCUACUGGUAAGUCUCAAAACCUCUUAUUCUUGUUUUAUCUCUGUUGGAUUUGCUCAUCGAGAAACGUGCCUCAAACAAAGGUCAUCCUCUGAUCCAAGUCUACGGCCCCAGAGGUGCUUUUUUUCUAAAUCUGGGUCACCAGGGAAGGUGUGCUGGAAGGUUUAGAGUGAUCUCUCAAAUUAUUCCUCAGGAAUGAGGCUUGUCAGGGAUCGAAGGGUGGAGCUUGUGCGAAUGAGCAGAUUUACAGCAGCAAGAAAAAUGUGUGAAUCGCAGGCCAUUAUGAUUCACUCAGCCUCUCGGUGAUUAUAUAAAACCACAUGUUACAACGUAAAUUAUACGAAAUUAUGUAUUUUUGUAAUUGAUGCCUCUUAGUAAUUCCAGUGAAGCUCCUGUCCAUCUUAUGCUGCAGUCAGUUCACUGGAUGUGUUGAUGAGAAAUGUUUAGUCAGGGAUUCAUACUCUUGAUGAGCAAAGUAACAAUGUGGUUGAAGUUUCACAGCAAAGGGAUUUUGGAUGAAGUUGGUUAUAGGAAAAAAGGGGCUUGAUCCCGAGACUGCUGAAAAUGAAAAACGAAUUCACUGAAGUAAGGUUCGCCUGAAAGUUUCCAAGAACUUCUGUUUUUACUUUUUUCUUUGAUUUUAGCACAGACUGUUUUAUUCAUACCUCCAAUUCCACCGGUCACUCGUUGUCUGAUACUAGAGUACAUUUCUUAUCUUUGUGAUUCUUAAACACAGCAUCUGGUACUGCUCCGUUUCAGGCUGAAAGUAAUCAUGAAUAAAGGAUUCGGCAAUAAAAUGUGCCAUUAAGUGUCACGACCAGGAAAAGAAAAUCUUCUUUUUAUUGUGAACAGAGACACAUUUUGAGUUUUAAUACAGUUAAACUCAGCACUGUAGUGAAGAGCAUGAGUCAUUAUAAACUAACAACUGAGCGACUGAACAGUUACAUUUAACACGGUUGCACUGCCCUCUGGUGGAGGCGACAUGCUACUGCAACUCAAGCUCUGCAUAAACAGUGUUGCUAUGAAAAUACUUAGUUUGUAAUGCACAAACAGUGGCGUUUGUGAGGACAAAUAAAUCUAUGUAUGUGGAUGUGUAUUUAUUAUGGCAAUAAUCUGUAGUUUCACUAUGAAUUUACAAGUCAAGUCCUAAUUUUAUCCACAUCUUACAUUAGUCUGGCUGCAAACAUCUGAUUUACUGCCCACAUCUCAGAUUUGUGUAGUGGUUCAAACAGUGAACGGAUGUAGUGAGAAAAGAUCUAUUCAGUCUGAUUAUCAGGCUACAUGAAAAGCAGCACAAGUAUGUCCUCCUUACAUGCAAGCAUUUAGAUUUAUAUCCUAUAGCCUUGUUGCUGUAUUUGAAUAUAUACCUGAUUUAAUGUAAAUACUACAAUAUGGGGCUGUGAUAAACCACAAUUUAAAUCAUGGACAUGUAAAGAUUAUGAAAAGUCUGUUUAUGCUCACUGGAUCUCUGUACAUAUUUCAAAUAUGAAAUUAGGUUUUUAAAUAACAGCAAGUCUGUCAACAUGAUUCAGCAAAGAUGGAUGUUUUUACAUUCAUAAACACAAGAAAAUACAAAGUGUAGUAUUUGCUGUGUGGGUGUGAAAUGUGGCUAUCACAUAUAAUGAUACUAUAUGCAUGACAUAUAUUGAUACGACCAUAAUAGACAGUGUGGAUAGGCAAGGUAAUGACGUGCAAAGUACAGAUUAUCAUUAAAAACCUAUUAUUGCAUUUUUACCUGGCAGCAACCUCAAAGUCUGAAAAGUGAAGCCAAUGCGGAAAUGCCUUAAAAUUGCAUAUUUUCUAAUAGCCAUCAGGGGCGACUCCUUACUUCUCCCUACUUCCACUGCUCUAAAGUGCUAACAUGGGCGCCGGAAAGAAAAGCAAGUGGUUCACUGUGUGGAUGCUAAAAGCAGAUUGUGUGUGUGCUAAACCAAAACACGUGUGAGUUUAUCACGGUAAAGACCAGAUUACAAAAUCCAUGUCGUGUCCAAAUGUGACACCGGUGACAGUGAUGACACCGGUAUUCCGCCCACCCCCAGUGUCAUGCAUCGUAACGUAAAGAUGUUACAUCAAGUAAUGGCGUGCUUUGUGUUGGCUAUAGUUGUGUAGAUG
This is a long non-coding RNA of Anarrhichthys ocellatus (wolf-eel), 4694 nucleotides long. RefSeq lists it as uncharacterized. The transcript has 3 exons. Lineage: Eukaryota; Metazoa; Chordata; Actinopteri; Perciformes; Anarhichadidae. The record is from RefSeq and is a predicted model, not a curated record.